Long non-coding RNA from Microtus oregoni (creeping vole), 482 nucleotides. RefSeq lists it as uncharacterized. NCBI's taxonomy places the organism in Eukaryota, Metazoa, Chordata, Mammalia, Rodentia, Cricetidae. The record is from RefSeq and is a predicted model, not a curated record. The transcript is spliced from 2 exons.
CGACUAGGUUCCUUUCCUGAUUGUGCAGAGGGCUGUUGUCUGGGAUGGUGAUCUGUGGUAGUGUUAUUUUGGAGAUAGUGGAACUUUCAGAGCAAGAGGCAUGGCUGGCAAAAUUGGGUCAUCAUUGGCAGGCUUUUGAGGGACACAGUCUGGCUCUGCAUCUGACCCAAACUCUUUAUGUCCUGGUCUAUCAAGAUGUGAGAAGCGACUGCCUCACAAGGCCACCACCAUGGAUGGAGCUGAAGCCAUGGAUGGAAAUGCUGCCAUGAAUGGGGAUGUUGCCUUGGAUGGGAACGCUGCCAUGAUAGAGACACUGCCAUUAGUGGAAAAGCUACCAUGGGCGAAGCUGUCUUGACUGUCAUGCCUUUCUUGCUAUUAUGAACUUCAGCCCCUGAGACCAUAAUGAAAAAUAUGGACCCUUCCUGCCUCCAGUUGCUUCUGUCAUGUAUCUGGAUAAAGCAAUAAAAAAGUAGCUAAGGCCA